This 159-nucleotide ribosomal RNA is filed under the name Glaucocystis nostochinearum. RNAcentral's name for it is "5.8S ribosomal RNA". It matches the Rfam family "5.8S ribosomal RNA". From Rfam's summary of the family: 5.8S ribosomal RNA (5.8S rRNA) is a component of the large subunit of the eukaryotic ribosome. It is transcribed by RNA polymerase I as part of the 45S precursor that also contains 18S and 28S rRNA. The record is from RNAcentral. Lineage: Eukaryota; Glaucocystophyceae; Glaucocystales; Glaucocystaceae.
CAACUUUUAACAACGGAUAUCUUGGCUCUUGCAACGAUGAAGAACGCAGCGAAAUGCGAUACGUAAUGUGAAUUGCAGAAUUCAGUGAAUCAUCAAAUCUUUGAACGCACAUUGCGCUCCUAGGCUUGCUUAGGAGCAUGCCUGUUUCAGUGUCAUUUU